Molecule: ribosomal RNA, 105 nt
Filed under: uncultured bacterium
Lineage: Bacteria
Description: partial 16S ribosomal RNA
Rfam family: Bacterial small subunit ribosomal RNA
Source: RNAcentral
CCUUGUACACACCGCCCGUCACAUCACGAAAGCCCGUUGUACUAGAAGCCGGUGAUUUAACCGCAAGGGGGAUAGCCGUCCAAGGUAUGACUGGUGAUUGGGGUG